UUUUGGACAAUGGGCGCAAGCCUGAUCCAGCAAUGCCGCGUGCAGGAUGAAGGCCUUCGGGUUGUAAACUGCUUUUGUACGGAACGAAACGGCGAGCUCUAAUACAGUUUGCUAAUGACGGUACCGUAAGAAUAAGCACCGGCUAACUACGUGCCAGCAGCCGCGGUAAUACGUAGGGUGCAAGCGUUAAUCGGAAUUACUGGGCGUAAAGCGUGCGCAGGCGGUUAUGUAAGACAGAUGUGAAAUCCCCGGGCUUAACCUGGGAACUGCAUUUGUGACUGCAUAGCUAGAGUACGGUAGAGGGGGAUGGAAUUCCGCGUGUAGCAGCGAAAUGCGUAGAUAUGCGGAGGAACACCGAUGGCGAAGGCGAUCCCCUGGAGCCUGUACUGACGCUCAUGCACGAGG
This 405-nucleotide ribosomal RNA is filed under the name uncultured bacterium. RNAcentral's name for it is "bacterial SSU rRNA". It matches the Rfam family "Bacterial small subunit ribosomal RNA", at positions 362 to 758 of the family's 1533-position model. The record is from RNAcentral.